RNAcentral lists this ribosomal RNA (460 nucleotides) under uncultured bacterium. RNAcentral's name for it is "partial 16S ribosomal RNA". It matches the Rfam family "Bacterial small subunit ribosomal RNA", at positions 338 to 795 of the family's 1533-position model. The record is from RNAcentral.
CCUACGGGAGGCAGCAGUGAGGAAUAUUGGUCAAUGGACGAGAGUCUGAACCAGCCAAGUAGCGUGAAGGAUGACUGCCCUAUGGGUUGUAAACUUCUUUUAUAUGGGAAUAAAAUGUUCCACGUGUGGGAUUUUGUCUGUACCAUAUGAAUAAGGAACGGCUAACUCCGUGCCAGCAGCCGCGGUAAUACGGAGGAUCCGAGCGUUAUCCGGAUUUAUUGGGUUUAAAGGGAGCGUAGGUGGAUUGUUAAGUCAGUUGUGAAAGUUUGCGGCUCAACCGUAAAAUUGCAGUUGAAACUGGCAGUCUUGAGUACAGUAGAGGUGGGCGGAAUUCGUGGUGUAGCGGUGAAAUGCUUAGAUAUCACGAAGAACUCCGAUUGCGAAGGCAGUUCACUGGACUGCAACUGACACUGAGGCUCGAAAGUGUGGGUAUCAAACAGGAUUAGAUACCCCGGUAGUC